AUUGAACGCUGGCGGCAUGCCUUACACAUGCAAGUCGAACGGUAACGGGCCUUCGGGUGCCGACGAGUGGCGAACGGGGGAGUAAUACAUCGGAACGUGCCCGAUCGUGGGGGAUAACGAGGCGAAAGCUUUGCUAAUACCGCAUACGAUCUACGGAUGAAAGCAGGGGACCGCAAGGCCUUGCGCGGACGGAGCGGCCGAUGGCAGAUUAGGUAGUUGGUGGGAUAAAAGCUUACCAAGCCGACGAUCUGUAGCUGGUCUGAGAGGAUGAUCAGCCACACUGGGACUGAGACACGGCCCAGACUCCUACGGGAGGCAGCAGUGGGGAAUUUUGGACAAUGGGCGCAAGCCUGAUCCAGCCAUGCCGCGUGCAGGAUGAAGGCCUUCGGGUUGUAAACUGCUUUUGUACGGAACGAAAAGCCUUCUUUUAAUACAGGAGGGUCAUGACGGUACCGUAAGAAUAAGCUCCGGCUAACUACGUG
RNAcentral lists this ribosomal RNA (482 nucleotides) under uncultured bacterium. Its description in RNAcentral is "partial 16S ribosomal RNA". It matches the Rfam family "Bacterial small subunit ribosomal RNA", at positions 30 to 507 of the family's 1533-position model. The record is from RNAcentral.